RNAcentral lists this long non-coding RNA (455 nucleotides) under Mytilus galloprovincialis (Mediterranean mussel). The record is from RNAcentral. Lineage: Eukaryota; Metazoa; Mollusca; Bivalvia; Mytilida; Mytilidae.
GUUGAAUUUAUCAAUUGAAUGGAAUUUAGAAUGAACUUUACUGAGUUUGACCAUUAACUGUGAUUAAUGAUAGUACAAGAACAUGUCUGAUAUUAAAGUGGGACAACUUGUGCCCAUAUCAAUACCCUCAUCCAACCGGUACACACGAUUGCCGUAACGUACAUUAAUGAUGCCAAGAAGAAAAUACAUAGCAUCAAUCAUUUAAUUACAUCUCCGGUUAGAAUAUAUCUUGCAUAUUUACCUUUGUCAUUUGAAAAGAGUCUGUAUUUGAGUUGCAGCAACUGCAAUCAGAUUUUUCAAACGAUCAAAUAACCAAACAGGAACACGUUUGCUUGAUAUGAUUGUUUGAUCGUUUAGUGUAAAGAGUUGAAAAGUCAAAACCGUCAACAGAAUUAAUGGAAAAAGGAAAAUGAAAAGCACACGCAUUAUUCAUUUCUUGAAAGGUUAGAGCAGAG